Long non-coding RNA from Grus americana (Whooping crane), 1085 nucleotides. RefSeq lists it as uncharacterized. The record is from RefSeq and is a predicted model, not a curated record. The transcript has 2 exons. Lineage: Eukaryota; Metazoa; Chordata; Aves; Gruiformes; Gruidae.
CUGGUUGAAGCGCUCGAACUGACGCUCCAAGGGGUCCUGCUUGUUGGAGAAGACGUUGCCCUGAAGCGCCGUCUCGUGCUGGCAGUACUCGGCUCGGACUCGCAGGCGGAUGUCUGAGGGAAGCGGGGAAGAGCGCGCGGCGGCACGUCCCUCGGCCGUUUCUCCUGCCAGUCCUCUUGGAAAAACCCCCUCGAUUCGGGAGCCGAGCCCUCCCGGCGCGGUGUGGGAAAGGCCGUUUCCAGCGGUUACCACAGACACUCCCAACGCCCCGACGCAGAGCGGAUCGGCGACGUCGCGCACGCGCAAUCCCACGGGAGAAACCCCGGCCAAGGCGAUCGCCGCGCUGCACGGCACCGGGUCGUACGUACCUGGCGAUUGCUCAUACCAGCCCCGGGUUCGUCCUACCCGAGCUGUGUGGGUCUGAGCAAAGGUCUGGGGCAGCCACCGCCGCUCCUCCUCCUCCUCCUCCUCGGCAGAGCGGAGCUGGCGGCAGCUCCGGGCCCCUGGGACGGACCCAGCUGCUUGAAAUGCUUUAGGACAAACCGGCGUACGCCCAAAACGUUAAGCCUACGUGAUUUCCCCGGCUUUAGCAAACCAAACCUGUGUGCUGGCAGGACACGGGGGUUUGAGGAGAGUCAAGCUGCUUGAGCAGAAGCAGCCGCUGAGCAAAGAUUAUGGGGAGAAACGAGUUGUUUUUGAGGGCCGGGAUGUUUUCUGCAGGUUGUUUUUGUGCUGUUGGGUGAGCUCAGAUCCCUCCCAUCCCCGCCGGACCGAAGCCGGCCAAGGCCGCGAGCAUCCCUGGCUCCCUCCACCUUCGCCCGGCCGGCUCCGGCUGCGCCGAGCUAAUUCGGGACAGGGCUUCGGCUCCUUUUCAGAGCCGUGCAUACGCAUGAGGCAGGAGGAGACAAGACCUUCUGGCUGCUGCAGGGUCUGGAAGGAUGCAGGAACCAGAAGCGAGCCUCAGCUCGUUAAAUCCAGAGGAGACUUCCUUUAUCCGAUCAAUCCCUCCUCUCUAAGUGCAAAGCGCUGCGCGUUAUAAACCACAUGUAAGGUGCCUUUCUUAAUAAAGCUUUUUUUAAAUGCUA